GGCUUCAUAGAUCAGUUCGUAGAGCAUCGCACUCACGAGUAACGCGGAGGUCAUGGGUUCAAAUCCUGUUGAAGCCU
Non-coding RNA from Desmophyllum pertusum, 77 nucleotides. Lineage: Eukaryota; Metazoa; Cnidaria; Anthozoa; Scleractinia; Caryophylliidae. The record is from the annotation of a GenBank genome assembly.